This 1377-nucleotide ribosomal RNA is filed under the name uncultured organism. RNAcentral describes it as "bacterial SSU rRNA". It matches the Rfam family "Bacterial small subunit ribosomal RNA". The record is from RNAcentral.
UGCAAGUCGAACGAGACUCCGGGCUUCGGCCCGGAUGACAGUGGCGCAAGGGUGAGUAACACGUGAGUAAUCUGCCCCGAAGUCCGGGAUAGCCCAUGGAAACGUGGAUUAAUACCGGAUGUGGCUGUAUGAACUGCGGUUUUAACAGUUAAAGAUUCAUUGCUUCGGGAUGAGCUCGCGGUCCAUCAGCUUGUUGGUGAGGUAAUGGCUCACCAAGGCGACGACGGAUAGCUGGUCUGAGAGGAUGACCAGUCACACUGGGACUGAGACACUGCCCAGACUCCUACGGGAGGCUGCAGUCGAGAAUCUUCCGCAAUGGGCGCAAGCCUGACGGAGCAAUGCUGCGUGCCGGAUGAAGGCCUUCGGGUCGUAAACGGCUGUCACUCGGGACGAAUUUUGACGGUACCGAGAGAGGAAGCCACGGCUAACUACGUGCCAGCAGCCGCGGUAAUACGUAGGUGGCGAGCGUUGUUCGGAAUUAUUGGGCGUAAAGGGCGCGUAGGCGGCUUGGCAAGCCUGGUGUGAAAGGCCACAGCUUAACUGUGGGAGUGCGCUGGGAACUGCCUAGCUAGAGUUUCGGAGGGGAAGCUGGAAUCCCUGGUGUAGGGGUGAAAUCUGUAGAUAUCAGGAAGAACAUCUGUGGCGAAGGCGAGCUUCUGGCCAGAAACUGACGCUGAGGCGCGAAAGCGUGGGGAGCGAACAGGAUUAGAUACCCUGGUAGUCCACGCUGUAAACGAUGUGCACUAGGUGUUGGCUGUGAUAACGGUCAGUGCCGAAGCAAACGCGAUAAGUGCACCGCCUGGGGAGUAUGCUCGCAAGGGUGAAACUCAAAGGAAUUGACGGGGGCCCGCACAAGCGGUGGAGCAUGUGGUUUAAUUCGAUGAUACGCGAGGAACCUUACCAGGGUUUGACAUAUGGCGGACUGCGGUAGAGAUGUCGCUUCCCUUCGGGGCCGUCAUACAGGUGCUGCAUGGCUGUCGUCAGCUCGUGCUGUGAGGUGUUGGGUUAAGUCCCGCAACGAGCGCAACCCCUGCUGUCUGUUACCAGCACGUAAUGGUGGGGACUCAGGCGGUACUGCCGGUGACAAACCGGAGGAAGGUGGGGACGACGUCAAGUCAUCAUGGCCCUUAUGUCCUGGGCUACACACGUGCUACAAUGGCCGGUACAGAGUGCAGCGAAACCGCGAGGUGGAGCAAAUCACAGAAAGCCGGUCUCAGUACGGAUUGGAGUCUGAAACCCGACUUCAUGAAGCUGGAAUCGCUAGUAAUCGCGCAUCAGCAUGGCGCGGUGAAUACGUUCCCGGGCCUUGUACACACCGCCCGUCACACCACCCGAGUUGGGGGUACCCGAAGUCGCUUGUCUAACCGGAAACGGGGG